RNAcentral lists this ribosomal RNA (403 nucleotides) under Verrucomicrobiota bacterium. Its description in RNAcentral is "Verrucomicrobia bacterium partial 16S ribosomal RNA". It matches the Rfam family "Bacterial small subunit ribosomal RNA", at positions 355 to 776 of the family's 1533-position model. Lineage: Bacteria; Pseudomonadati; Verrucomicrobiota. The record is from RNAcentral.
UGGGGAAUAUUGCACAAUGGGGGAAACCCUGAUGCAGCGACGCCGCGUGAGCGAAGAAGGUUUUCGAAUCGUAAAGCUCUGUCCUAUGAGAAGAUAAUGACUGUAUCAUAGGAGGAAGCCCCGGCUAAAUACGUGCCAGCAGCCGCGGUAAUACGUAUGGGGCGAGCGUUGUCCGGAAUUAUUGGGCGUAAAGGGUACGUAGGCGGUCUAUUAAGUCAGGUGUGAAAGCGUGAGGCUUAACCUCAUUAAGCACUUGAAACUGAUAGACUUGAGUGAAGGAGAGGAAAGUGGAAUUCCUAGUGUAGCGGUGAAAUGCGUAGAUAUUAGGAGGAAUACCGGUGGCGAAGGCGACUUUCUGGACUUUUACUGACGCUCAGGUACGAAAGCGUGGGGAGCAAACAGG